GCAAACUUGGUCAUUUAGAGGAAGUAAAAGUCGUAACAAGGUAACCGUAGGUGAACCUGCGGUUGGAUCAUUACAAAAUGAUAUAUUUCUAGGUUUGUAGUCUACUUUUCAAGAGUGUGAUUCGCCUAGAAAUAUCAAUUCACCCAAUGUGCACUGUUUCUGUUUUUCGGGUGAUUUUUGAAUUUUUUUUUAAUUUACUUACGGUUAAAAAGAAAAGGAAUAAAAUUGCCCGGCAGUUAAUGAACCCAAUUUAAUUAUUUGUCUGAUCUAUUUCUGAAAAUGAAAUGAUAAACAACUUUUGACAACGGAUCUCUUGGCUCUCGCAUCGAUGAAGAACGCAGC
RNAcentral lists this unclassified non-coding RNA (342 nucleotides) under uncultured fungus. Its description in RNAcentral is "partial contains small subunit ribosomal RNA, internal transcribed spacer 1, and 5.8S ribosomal RNA". The stretch from base 1 to 73 matches the Rfam family "Eukaryotic small subunit ribosomal RNA", at positions 1759 to 1831 of the family's 1831-position model. Lineage: Eukaryota; Fungi. The record is from RNAcentral.